This 1374-nucleotide long non-coding RNA is filed under the name Triticum aestivum (bread wheat). Its description in RNAcentral is "long non-coding RNA (TAES_LNC025395)". Lineage: Eukaryota; Viridiplantae; Streptophyta; Magnoliopsida; Poales; Poaceae. The record is from RNAcentral.
AAACUUGCAGAUUGCCACCCAUCUUCAGUCACACUUGAGACCAGAGAGACUGAAAUUGAAGGCGCUGGAAUAGACCUCAUCUUCCUGGAGGUAAGAGUUAUUCAAGAGCUCACUUGCAGGAAGUCUUUCAUCUACAGGAGCUAGACAGAUUUCUAUGAAAUUCUACUUGUGUUCCUGACUCUAAGUUAUACCUACUAAAGUAUUCUAGCAGUAAACAUUAUGUUAGCGUCAGACUUACAUAGUUGCUUUCGAAGAGCAAAAAGUUUAACGCAGCUGUAUUAGCAGGUCAAAAGUAACACCCGUUAACUCCAUAAUCCUAAAUCUCAAGAAAAGACUCACCAAAAAAAGAAAUAACAUGUAAUAAAUUGUUACCAGGAGUCCAGCAUCGAGGACAUCGCCUUUUGAAGAACAAAUGCCAAGUGUAUGUGAGCUAAAUAUACUUAUACAGAUCUAGGGGAUACGAUGAGACUAUGCUUCCAAGCACAGAAAGAAGUACAUGAUCGGCAAUGGCACAAACAAAUCUGCACAUAGUAAAUAACCUGAUACAGUAUAGACUAUACACCAAGGGAAACCGGAACAAAGCGAUUCACAAAAUGUACAAACUUUACUCUACAGACUCUGCAGGCUAUAAAAUCAGAACAUAUAUACUCAGGUGCAGGUUCUUCAAAAUAACUUCAAUUGGUUGCACCUUUGCUCAGAUCAAAUACAAAUAGUAGCUGCAUUUGUGUAGAACAAAGAAUGAAGCAUUCAUAGCUUAGCUGCCCUUUGCUUCAGUUAAACAAUACGUGCUAGCUUGCUUGAUGGUUGUGCCCAAAAAAUCCAGAGUGAACAACUCUGAACCUGGCUCUAGCUAAAAGAACAAAAUCAUUGGCUUAGGUAAGCUUUACUGAGGUUGCUUGAUGGUUGUGCCCGAAAAAUUCAGUCAAUAACUCUGAACCUGACUCUGGCUAAAUUACAGACACUGUGACAUGAGUAGCAACCUGAGUAAAGCUUACCUAAAAGAAUAACAUCACAGAGGCCUCUCACCAAGGACCCGGGAAGCAUGCGUAAAACUGAUGCUCCUUUCCAUAGUAGAAAUAUAAGUGAACUGACAAUCAACUAUUCUAGUCAUCCAUGCUUAUAUAUAGUAUAAAAAUAUGGUGAGUUCAGAAAUUAAUCUUUUCUUUAAAACUAAACAAAGAAGGAAAAGAAACAUACCUGUGCGACCGAUCGAAUAGGGAAGACAUGGCAUAAUUGUUGUAUGCAUGUACCCAGCAGUGGGCGUUUCAGGCACCCUGCAGGUAAUUUUGUUGGACACUUAUCCAUUAACAGGAGCAUCAACAAUGGUAUGGAGCAAGAACCGUGGCUAUGAACAGACCUUGCAAUGAAUCUCGG